This 480-nucleotide ribosomal RNA is filed under the name Staphylococcus aureus. RNAcentral describes it as "bacterial SSU rRNA". It matches the Rfam family "Bacterial small subunit ribosomal RNA", at positions 1 to 478 of the family's 1533-position model. The record is from RNAcentral. Lineage: Bacteria; Bacillati; Bacillota; Bacilli; Caryophanales; Staphylococcaceae.
UUUAUGGAGAGUUUGAUCCUGGCUCAGGAUGAACGCUGGCGGCGUGCCUAAUACAUGCAAGUCGAGCGAACGGACGAGAAGCUUGCUUCUCUGAUGUUAGCGGCGGACGGGUGAGUAACACGUGGAUAACCUACCUAUAAGACUGGGAUAACUUCGGGAAACCGGAGCUAAUACCGGAUAAUAUUUUGAACCGCAUGGUUCAAAAGUGAAAGACGGUCUUGCUGUCACUUAUAGAUGGAUCCGCGCUGCAUUAGCUAGUUGGUAAGGUAACGGCUUACCAAGGCAACGAUGCAUAGCCGACCUGAGAGGGUGAUCGGUCACACUGGAACUGAGACACGGUCCAGACUCCUACGGGAGGCAGCAGUAGGGAAUCUUCCGCAAUGGGCGAAAGCCUGACGGAGCAACGCCGCGUGAGUGAUGAAGGUCUUCGGAUCGUAAAACUCUGUUAUUAGGGAAGAACAUAUGUGUAAGUAACUGUGC